This 202-nucleotide unclassified non-coding RNA is filed under the name Hevea brasiliensis (rubber tree). Lineage: Eukaryota; Viridiplantae; Streptophyta; Magnoliopsida; Malpighiales; Euphorbiaceae. The record is from RNAcentral.
AAUGAAGCCAUUAGCAUUGUCAGCCUCAGUGGUGACACUGUAGUUUGGAUCACCGUGUAGACACUUUACAGUAAGGGGACUGCCACAUAGACACUUCCGAUGAAAGAGGAUGCACUAGAAGUCAUCAUGUGAUCUGUGUAAGGGAUAACAACUGACAAGUUAUUGUUGGACAAAUUUAAAUAUGCCAAAAAUCACAUUGAAG